Non-coding RNA from Pelobates cultripes (western spadefoot toad), 201 nucleotides. The record is from the annotation of a GenBank genome assembly. Lineage: Eukaryota; Metazoa; Chordata; Amphibia; Anura; Pelobatidae.
AAUUUCCCUAGAUGGUAUAUGAAAAGUAUCAACAAUCUGUUGUAAAGGCAUAAAAUUAUCGCCCAACAUAAGAUCGGAAAUCCUUAGUUUUUCAGUAUCUGCCCAGUGGAUCAAAAGAAGGUCAUCAAUAUUUAUCUCUAAUAUCUUAAGUCUACACGACCUAGGUAUUAAUUGCUGAAAGCCCAAAGUUUUUUUAAUUUC